RNAcentral lists this ribosomal RNA (304 nucleotides) under uncultured bacterium. Its description in RNAcentral is "partial 16S ribosomal RNA". It matches the Rfam family "Bacterial small subunit ribosomal RNA", at positions 506 to 807 of the family's 1533-position model. The record is from RNAcentral.
CAGCAGUAGCCGCGGUAAUACGUAGGGUGCAAGCGUUAAUCGGAAUUACUGGGCGUAAAGCGUGCGCAGGCGGUUAUAUAAGACAGAUGUGAAAUCCCCGGGCUCAACCUGGGAACUGCAUUUGUGACUGUAUAGCUAGAGUACGGCAGAGGGGGAUGGAAUUCCGCGUGUAGCAGUGAAAUGCGUAGAUAUGCGGAGGAACACCGAUGGCGAAGGCAAUCCCCUGGGCCUGUACUGACGCUCAUGCACGAAAGCGUGGGGAGCAAACAGGAUUAGAUACCCGCGUAGUCCCUGUCUCUUAUAC